RNAcentral lists this transfer RNA (64 nucleotides) under Glyptonotus cf. antarcticus FK-2009. Its description in RNAcentral is "tRNA-Asn". The record is from RNAcentral. Lineage: Eukaryota; Metazoa; Arthropoda; Malacostraca; Isopoda; Chaetiliidae.
CAAGGUAAAGCCAAAGAGAGGCAAAUUUUUGUUACAAAUUUAAUUGGAUAUUUUCCUGCCUUGG